This 125-nucleotide small RNA is filed under the name Marmota monax (woodchuck). The record is from RNAcentral. Lineage: Eukaryota; Metazoa; Chordata; Mammalia; Rodentia; Sciuridae.
GCCAGAUGCCGUGGCGCGCGCCUGUAAUCCCAGCGGCUCUGGAGGCUGAGGCAGGAGGAUCACUAGUUCAAAGCCAGCCUCAGCAAGGGCGAGGCACUGAGCAACUCAGUGAGACCCUGUCUCUA